AAUGAACGUUGGCGGCGUGGAUUAGGCAUGCAAGUCGAGCGCGAUCCUGUUAUUUGAAGCUUCGGUGGAUUUGAUCAGGGGAAAGCGGCGAAAGGGAGAGUAAUGCAUAGAUUAUCUGCCCUCAGGUUUGGGAUAGCUACGGGAAACUGUAGGUAAUACCGAAUAAUAUCUCCGGAUCAAAGGUGAUUCUGCCUGAGGAUGAGUCUAUGUCCUAUUAGCUAGUUGGUAAGGUAACGGCUUACCAAGGCAACGAUGGGUACCGGGUGUGAGAGCAUGGCCCGGCUCACUGGGACUGAGACACUGCCCAGACACCUACGGGUGGCUGCAGUCGAGAAUCUUCGGCAAUGGACGAAAGUCUGACCGAGCGACGCCGCGUGCGGGAUGAAGGCCCUCGGGUUGUAAACCGCUGUCAGUUGUUAGGAAAUCCAUAGGGGUUCUCUCCUAUGGUUGACCGAUCUUCAGAGGAAGGACGGGCUAAGUUCGUG
Molecule: ribosomal RNA, 485 nt
Filed under: uncultured bacterium
Lineage: Bacteria
Description: bacterial SSU rRNA
Rfam family: Bacterial small subunit ribosomal RNA
Source: RNAcentral